UCAGGGCUGGGGGGCCGGGGAGCCCUCCCCACCUGCUUGGAGAGCUGCAGCCUGGCCUGGGAGGGGAGGGGCAGGCCGGCUCCCAGGCUGCUGGUGUCCAGGGUCUCAAGCCCUUUAAGGAUGGGGAAGCCCCUCUCGACUGGCCUUCGGCCCUGGUGGCCUCUGUUCCCCAGCUUUCUCCUGGGACGAGUGAAGGAACAGCCACUUAAGCACCUGGCAGAGGGCAGAUGCCCCCUUCGACAAGCCUCUGGACGUCUUGCACACCAGAGACGUUCGGCUAGAAAGCCCAGGCUGCCUGCCCGAGGAAGCAGUUGGUAACACAGUCCAGGCAUCUGGACAGCCCAGGGGCCACAUGUGGAGACCCUUGGACCUUCUCUCUGUAGCGGAGAGAGCCUGGUCUCUCCCCACAGCCUGCAAACACGCCAGGCUGGACCCCUGCCUUUCCCUGAGGCCGGUGGGCUUCCUCAAGGCAGCAAGGGCCCAAGCUAAACCCCCAGAACGAACAACAGGCCUGCAAAGUUCCCCUUGGGAUCGAAGCACACAGCUCCCGGAGGCCUCACAGACCGCCUCCUGGAUUCCACCCCUCCCCGGGGCAUCUCCCUAUCAUGCAGUCCAGAAACACCCACGUCACACUGAACUAACCCAGAGACACGGGCGGCUUCCUGCCCCCUGGCCUUUGCACAUGCAGCUCUCCCUGCUGUCCCCUCUCUCCCACCAGUCGUGCCCAUAGGAUCCCUGUCAACCCCAACGCUACCCUGCAGUUUAGGGAAACUCCCCGCCGUCAGUGCUCCUGCUCAGCCUUGCACCCCCGUGACUGGGCAGCCUCCUGCCUUGCCCAGCAGCCCGGAGCCCCUGGAGGCCCAGAGCUGCGCCCGGCUCAUUUCCCACCUGAGAGCCGGGCACAGGUGUCAACAGAGCGAGCCAGUGAAUGAAGGAAUGGGUGCCUGGCCAUCUCCACACCGAUCCUGGGAGAUCUGUAACUCAUGGCACUUGCCUGUCUGUUCAGAAAACACAGCCUCAUCUGGCCAGCUGUGACCCAGGCCUUGGCCAGAAAGCAGAAGAUCUCCGCUGACCGUGAGAGGCUUGGAAGCCUGAGGCACUUGUCACAUCGGCUCUGUCCUCCACCUGCCCCGGCCCGGCCCCACUUACCUGGCCCGCAGAACAGGUGCCCCCUGAGCCCCAGCUCCAUUCUGGGCAUGCAGCCUGGCCAAGAUGGACAACACACAAGUACAGGUGAUCAAGCUGGAAUGGCAGAAGCAUAGAGGUUGGCAGGAGACACCCACCUCAGACCCGGAAGGGGCAAGCAAUCAGGGAAGUCUUCCUGGAGGAAGUGCCCCCUACACCAAGACCUGAAGAAUAAGCUGGAGACAGCUGGGCCAGACAAGGCCACCGUCCCGUGGGUGCGUGCAGAGAGAAUGGCAGUAUCCGAGACGAAGCAGAACAGCCUCCGUCUCCUGCUGUUGCUGGACUGGCCGGACAGAAAGACCGAGGAGUCGGUCAGAGAGUUAGCUGUGCGAGGGCGUGGCAGCCUUGGAACCAGCCUUCUGGGGGCACGCUCUGCUCUGCUCAGUGAAACGCUGUCCUGGACCCCUCCCUUCCCGUGGAAACUUCUACCUCCUAGAUGCAUGAAUAUCAUGCGGGGUACCAGACACAUGCAGGAGAUUUGCCAAAAAAAAAAAAAAAAAAGUUUGCUGACUGUGAUUCAUUCAUUUUUCUGACCACUCACCAGGCACUAAGCAUUGGGAAUAAAGAGAUGAAUGAGACGGAUGUGGCUGGAAGAGCAAAUAAAU
Suricata suricatta (meerkat) is the source of this 1790-nucleotide long non-coding RNA. RefSeq lists it as uncharacterized. Lineage: Eukaryota; Metazoa; Chordata; Mammalia; Carnivora; Herpestidae. The record is from RefSeq and is a predicted model, not a curated record. The transcript has 5 exons.